This 1663-nucleotide ribosomal RNA is filed under the name Salmonella enterica. Its description in RNAcentral is "partial 23S ribosomal RNA". It matches the Rfam family "Bacterial large subunit ribosomal RNA", at positions 1181 to 2802 of the family's 2925-position model. The record is from RNAcentral. Lineage: Bacteria; Pseudomonadati; Pseudomonadota; Gammaproteobacteria; Enterobacterales; Enterobacteriaceae.
GACGAUUGACGGAGCGAAGCGACGUCAAAGCGUUCAUUAAAGUCGAGUUGGCUUAGGGAUACGUUCGUUGGGUAGGGGAGCGUUCUGUAAGCCAGUGAAGGUGUGUCGUGAGGCAUGCUGGAGGUAUCAGAAGUGCGAAUGCUGACAUAAGUAACGAUAAAGCGGGUGAAAAGCCCGCUCGCCGGAAGACCAAGGGUUCCUGUCCAACGUUAAUCGGGGCAGGGUGAGUCGACCCCUAAGGCGAGGCCGAAAGGCGUAGUCGAUGGGAAACAGGUUAAUAUUCCUGUACUUGGUGUUACUGCGAAGGGGGGACGGAGAAGGCUAUGUUGGCCGGGCGACGGUUGUCCCGGUUUAAGCGUGUAGGUGUGUGUUCCAGGUAAAUCCGGUUCACUUUAACACUGAGGCGUGAUGACGAGGCACUACGGUGCUGAAGCAACAAAUGCCCUGCUUCCAGGAAAAGCCUCUAAGCAUCAGGUAACAUCAAAUCGUACCCCAAACCGACACAGGUGGUCAGGUAGAGAAUACCAAGGCGCUUGAGAGAACUCGGGUGAAGGAACUAGGCAAAAUGGUGCCGUAACUUCGGGAGAAGGCACGCUGACACGUAGGUGAAGUGAUUUACUCAUGGAGCUGAAGUCAGUCGAAGAUACCAGCUGGCUGCAACUGUUUAUUAAAAACACAGCACUGUGCAAACACGAAAGUGGACGUAUACGGUGUGACGCCUGCCCGGUGCCGGAAGGUUAAUUGAUGGGGUCAGCGCAAGCGAAGCUCCUGAUCGAAGCCCCGGUAAACGGCGGCCGUAACUAUAACGGUCCUAAGGUAGCGAAAUUCCUUGUCGGGUAAGUUCCGACCUGCACGAAUGGCGUAAUGAUGGCCAGGCUGUCUCCACCCGAGACUCAGUGAAAUUGAACUCGCUGUGAAGAUGCAGUGUACCCGCGGCAAGACGGAAAGACCCCGUGAACCUUUACUAUAGCUUGACACUGAACAUUGAGCCUUGAUGUGUAGGAUAGGUGGGAGGCUUUGAAGCGUGGACGCCAGUCUGCGUGGAGCCGACCUUGAAAUACCACCCUUUAAUGUUUGAUGUUCUAACGUGGACCCGUAAUCCGGGUUGCGGACAGUGUCUGGUGGGUAGUUUGACUGGGGCGGUCUCCUCCUAAAGAGUAACGGAGGAGCACGAAGGUUGGCUAAUCCUGGUCGGACAUCAGGAGGUUAGUGCAAUGGCAUAAGCCAGCUUGACUGCGAGCGUGACGGCGCGAGCAGGUGCGAAAGCAGGUCAUAGUGAUCCGGUGGUUCUGAAUGGAAGGGCCAUCGCUCAACGGAUAAAAGGUACUCCGGGGAUAACAGGCUGAUACCGCCCAAGAGUUCAUAUCGACGGCGGUGUUUGGCACCUCGAUGUCGGCUCAUCACAUCCUGGGGCUGAAGUAGGUCCCAAGGGUAUGGCUGUUCGCCAUUUAAAGUGGUACGCGAGCUGGGUUUAGAACGUCGUGAGACAGUUCGGUCCCUAUCUGCCGUGGGCGCUGGAGAACUGAGGGGGGCUGCUCCUAGUACGAGAGGACCGGAGUGGACGCAUCACUGGUGUUCGGGUUGUCAUGCCAAUGGCACUGCCCGGUAGCUAAAUGCGGAAGAGAUAAGUGCUGAAAGCAUCUAAGCACGAAACUUGCCCCGA